AAUGAACCGACUAAAAAUGAAAC
This 23-nucleotide non-coding RNA is filed under the name Arabidopsis thaliana (thale cress). Lineage: Eukaryota; Viridiplantae; Streptophyta; Magnoliopsida; Brassicales; Brassicaceae. The record is from RNAcentral.